AUUUCUCCAACUUGGACUUUUGUCCAACGCGGGUCCAUGGGUUUGCAACUUGCGUUGCUCACCUUAAAUACAGUACGCUGGACAACCAGUGAGUUGCUAGUUUCAUUGCUAACUUGCGUAAAUGUUGUCUGCUGCUAAUCACACAACGUGUGCCUCGUGCACACCCUCAU
This 170-nucleotide unclassified non-coding RNA is filed under the name uncultured Ceratobasidiaceae. RNAcentral describes it as "sequence contains ITS2". The record is from RNAcentral. Lineage: Eukaryota; Fungi; Basidiomycota; Agaricomycetes; Cantharellales; Ceratobasidiaceae.